AUUGAACGCUGGCGGCGUGCAUUACACAUGCAAGUCGAACGGCAGCACGGGAGCAAUCCUGGUGGCGAGUGGCAAACGGGUGAGUAAUACUUCGGAACGUACCUUUUAGUGGGGGAUAACUACUCGAAAGAGUGGCUAAUACCGCAUAUGUCUAUGGAUGAAAGCGGGGGAUCGUAAGACCUCGCGCUACUUGAGCGACCGAAGCAAGAUUAGGUAGUUGGUAGGGUAAAGGCCUACCAAGCCUGCGAUCUUUAGCUGGUCUGAGAGGACGAUCAGCCACACUGGGACUGAGACACGGCCCAGACUCCUACGGGAGGCAGCAGUGGGGAAUUUUGGACAAUGGGGGCAACCCUGAUCCAGCAACGCCGCGUGAGUGAAGAAGGCCUUCGGGUUGUAAAGCUCUUUUGUUAGGGAAGAAAUCUUCUAGGCUAAUACCCUGGGAGGAUGACGGUACCUAAAGAAUAAGCACCGGCUAACUACGUGCCAGCCGCCGCAGUAA
This 499-nucleotide ribosomal RNA is filed under the name uncultured bacterium. RNAcentral describes it as "partial 16S ribosomal RNA". It matches the Rfam family "Bacterial small subunit ribosomal RNA", at positions 30 to 523 of the family's 1533-position model. The record is from RNAcentral.